RNAcentral lists this ribosomal RNA (94 nucleotides) under Erinaceus europaeus (western European hedgehog). Lineage: Eukaryota; Metazoa; Chordata; Mammalia; Eulipotyphla; Erinaceidae. The record is from RNAcentral.
GUUUCUGGCCAUAACGCCGCGAACAUACCCAAUCUUAUGUGAUCUCAGAAGCUCAGCAGGUUUGAGCCUAGUUAGUACUUGGAAGGCAGAAAAU